UCCGAAAAUUGCGGUAAGACAUGGUAAUUUCUAAACUAAAAACAAUAAGAAUCACUGUAUGUUCACAGUAAGUAAGUUCACAAUGUAUUUUUUUUUGUUCUGCUUCAUUUUGUUUCAUAGGAAGCCGUCCGUCGCCUGCACAACUCCGAGACGAAUCUCAGGCGCUAUGAUGCUGGGCAAGGACUGUGUUCGCCUUAUAAUGCGGCGGUCACAUCGUUUUUGGUCGGAGCUCUGCACGCAAGCCCGGAUUUACAUGGUGUUGACAACGAUGCCAUUGUGUCGCACUGCGUCACCGGCGUCUGUACAGUGGAUCAUGUUCGGACAGAAAGCCACCACCACAUGGCCCAGAGGUGGACAGACAUUUCAUCCCCUAGCUGCGCUUUUGAUAUAUUUUGUUAUUGCUUGUAAAUAUGUAUUUGCUUUUUUUUUUUUUUUUU
Rhinichthys klamathensis goyatoka is the source of this 437-nucleotide long non-coding RNA. RefSeq lists it as uncharacterized. Lineage: Eukaryota; Metazoa; Chordata; Actinopteri; Cypriniformes; Leuciscidae. The record is from RefSeq and is a predicted model, not a curated record. The transcript is spliced from 3 exons.